UAAGGCCAGCGAGAGAACUGUUGUUAAGGAACUCGGCAAAAUGACCCCGUAACUUAGGGAUAAGGGGUGCCACCAUCAGGUGGCCGCAGAGAAUAGGCCCAAGCGACUGUUUACCAAAAACAUAGGUUUCUGCUAAGUCGCAAGACGAUGUAUAGGAGCUGACGCCUGCCCGGUGCUGGAAGGUUAAGGGGAUCUGUUAGAGCAAUCGAAGCAGUGAACUUAAGCCCCAGUAAACGGCGGCCGUAACUAUAACGGUCCUAAGGUAGCGAAAUUCCUUGUCGGGUAAGUUCCGACCCGCACGAAAGGCGUAACGAUUUGGGCACUGUCUCAACAACAGACUCGGUGAAAUUGUAAUUCCGGUGAAGAUGCCGGAUACCUGCGACAGGACGGAAAGGCCCCAUGGAGCUUUACUGUAGCUUGACAUUGGGUCUUGGUACUACAUGUACAGGAUAGGUGGGAGGCUUUGAAACCAGGACGCCAGUUUUGGCGGAGCCAUCCUUGGGAUACCAC
RNAcentral lists this ribosomal RNA (510 nucleotides) under Clostridioides difficile. RNAcentral describes it as "partial 23S ribosomal RNA". It matches the Rfam family "Bacterial large subunit ribosomal RNA", at positions 1682 to 2203 of the family's 2925-position model. The record is from RNAcentral. Lineage: Bacteria; Bacillati; Bacillota; Clostridia; Peptostreptococcales; Peptostreptococcaceae.